CCCUGAUUUUAAUAAUCAGGGAAAGAGAAUAACAGAAAAAUCAGCGAAAAUGAGAGAGUCUCGCAUCAUGUCAUCCUUGCCAUGGAUAAAUUGUGUGAUUGUUUAACUAGGAGUAAGUUGUAGAAAUUGAGCUGCCAGAUCUGUUGGGUCCCCACAAAACCAUUUCAAAGUUCUAACAAGUCGUAACGAUAUCUUACCAACAGAAGUAUACAAUAACUCGGACAUAUCAUUUGUAAUAACAAUUGAUAAUUUAAAACAAAUAAAUCGAUGUAGUUACUUAUUUUUUGCACAAAAAAAUACAUUUUGAAUGAAAUAUUUAAAUAUCAAUGAAGGGAAAGGUUUUGGUACGGCAACAACGAAAUUGUGUACGUCAGCUGUUUGACAUUCAUUUACAUUGCGCUCUCAUGAGAUAGGUCGAUAGGCUGAUGCGGUGUGCGGUUUUGCGUCGGUCACUAACUGAAGCAUUAGAGUACAGAAGGUUACGACAACAGCAUAUGUCAUCGAACCAAGAAUGCUAGAUUACAAGAUUACGCCAACCGCCAUCUUGUGACGUAACUCCUUUGAGUUAAGAAGAAGAAGCAUAACAGCAUGUACAUUGUAAAUAAAAACGUAAACACUUUUGUUAAUUCGAAAAAUAUACUUUAUUUAUUAGGUAAUAGUGAAAAAGUUUUUGUGAAAUUAAUAUAUUAAUGUUGCGGGAAAAUAUUUUGGUAAUUAUUUAAUAAAUACUUUUAUCUAUUGACAACAUAAUUGCCAAUUAAGUGAAUGAUUAGAAAGAAUUAAAACUAGUACCGAAGGAUUAUAUGGAUAACUACAAUAUAUGACGAUUUACGUUUUUAUCAUCGUUAGAGAACUGCAACAGAGGUGUUGCGAUACAUCCUUGACGGGGGUGAUGUUCACAUACCAUUGAUUGACUUUAAUGUAAAUUUUGAGAGGAUGCGUCCUACUGCAAUUUCUUCGUGAAAAAUUCUUUUUAGAUAUGAAUAACGACUGGAAAAUUGCCACGACUAAUCAAGAACAACGAUUGAAGCUCUAUACUCCAGAUACACUUUUUAGAAUCACGAACAUAUGUUUCAGACUUCAGUUACUAUAAAGCUAUAAUAUCCGCUAUGCCUAUACAUGCUCCGACUGAAGAUAAUGUACAAAUUGGAGAAAUAAAUUAUAUAUUAAAUUUGCGACUUAUUUAAUUUAUUUUUUAUCUGAAACAACGAUGUGGAUAUGGAGAGUCAGAAGACUGCUUAUAUGCUGAGUAAAAAUCAAUUUACUAUGAUUGCACCAUUUUAUUAAAUUUCUAGCUCUUUCAAACAAAAUAAUAGCUCAAUUAUCGAUACUACUACAAAAUACUACACUCAGAAAUUUGAAUUUUCGAUUCUAACUUUAGAACAUUUAAUGUAUGGCAUUGUAAAAUCUGAUUCUAAUUUCUGGAAAUUAGAAUUACUGAAGGUUCUAAUUUGUGAGCGUCGACUGUAAUUUAACUUUAGUAAGUAUCACUUGCUUAAUGAUGUAGUUACAUUGUAAUUGGUGUUUGUGAAUGCUAAUAUUUGUUCAUGAUUAAUUAUUUACGGUGAUCGGCUUUUUGUAGCAGCGCUUACUGUUGUCGACGCAUUCCCUUUUUUCACUUGUAAUAAAUUUUUAAUUUAAUUAAAAUGUUUUUUAUUCAGCUGGGAAUGGUAUGAGCCUGUUGUAUUACCACUCGUGAUAUUACUCAACUAAUCAUUUCAAUAAAACAAAAUGUAAUGUUAUUACAAUAUACCUUUGCAUAUAUGCAUAUACAACACUGCUUAAACUCUAAGAGCAACACUUGACGAAGUAUUGCUUCGGCACUGGCGACGACCAACAGUGACAACGAUGGAGAACAACGGAAUAAUGUUCAGUGCUCACAGCGAAGAGCGUUUGUUAGCAGAAUGAAAUUGAAGCCAGUUUACUAUAAUUUUCGUAACUAACAGCAGAGGGUUGAAUGUUGAGCUCUUACAGUGCCCUCCUUUCUUCAUUGAAGAAUAUAACAGUUAUGCAGUAAGGGCUCUCUCGAAUGUCUCUUUAAUUUUAGAGCUCAUUUAACGAUGAACUCCUGUUUUUAGGAUGUACUGAUAACAUAUGCAUACUUAUUUGGGUAAAUACUUGAGUAAAUAUUGGAAUUCAUUACAAGUAGUUACUAAGGCGGAUAUUAUUUUAUGGCACAGCGAAAACAUUUUCGUAUGGAACUUAUUUAUUAAUACAGCAUAUUACUUUGUUCUCUGUUAAAGUUGAUAAAAAAAUGUUAGAAUAAAUAUUUGUGCUGCGCA
Bactrocera oleae (olive fruit fly) is the source of this 2282-nucleotide non-coding RNA. Lineage: Eukaryota; Metazoa; Arthropoda; Insecta; Diptera; Tephritidae. The record is from RefSeq and is a predicted model, not a curated record.